This is a non-coding RNA of Arachis ipaensis, 1926 nucleotides long. The record is from RefSeq and is a predicted model, not a curated record. NCBI's taxonomy places the organism in Eukaryota, Viridiplantae, Streptophyta, Magnoliopsida, Fabales, Fabaceae.
AUUGAUGAAUACUCAAAUUUACAUGAGUAAAUUAACUACUGUAAAUAUUAAUUAUAUAAAAAAAAUCUACAUCUUAACUCUCACCAACCCUAACAAAAAGAAAAAAAAAACUCUCACCAAACACUCAGAUUUCCAUUACUCUCCCACACCAACUACUAAACUCUCAUCUUGGGAGAGAUGCAACAAACUCAGAUCCAGGCGAGGAACCAGGUGGCGAUAGAUCUGUUGUAGCAGUCUCCAUCGUCGAGUCUCUCCGUUUCGAGGAUUGCCGUCUUCGUCUGGCCAGCGUCGCCGACCCGCCAUCCUCUUCUUCGAGCUCUGUUGUUUCACAGUCCUCUUUUCCAACCCUUCCCUUCGUGGCCUGCUGCUCCUUGUUAACAUCAUCUCCCUCUGCACUGCCACAGUCUCUCUUUAUGCUUCUUCUCUCGUUCUUCUGCUGCUACCUCCUCUUCAUCUCUGCUCCUCCUCCAGCCUUCCUCCUCUGCUUUGUUCCACCGCCUCCUCUUCUCUCCCGAUUUGCUCUAACUCUCUGUCUCUGCAGGUUUUUCUAAUCUCAGUUGAUGAUCUCUUUUAACUUACUUUCCUUUUUCAUGCCAGUUUCUUCUAUUGAUCUUCUCCAAUGAGAACAACAAUACCACGCUCUCAUUCCAGUCUUUAGGCGUAUUAUCAAGUUCUAAAUACUAAAGUUACGUAAGUUUGCUUGGAUUUUGCCUCUUGAUUAAUCAACUCCUUAUUAGAAAUCUACUUUUCAGUAAUUUUUUUUUUUAUAAAACCUUGCAUUUGAACCUAGAAUUGAGUUUUGCUCUUCGGUGAGUCACACACUCUUUAAUCUUUGAUUGUUACGACAACGUGUGAUAGGAGAAUUCAGAUCUAGAAAUGUGCCUUUAAAUUUGGUAAGUUUCAACUUCUCUUUUUUUUUUUAAAUUUAUUUUACAAUCAAUAAUUAGUUUAAAUCCUUUGAAUUUUAGGCUGUACUAUUCAGGAGUGCAAUUGGGUUCUCCUCCAGUUAAUUUUUAUGUGCAGAUUGACACUAACAAUGAUGUUUUCUGUGUUAGCUAUACCUUUUUCGGUGGUUGUCCCCAAACAAGAGGUCUCUUAUGAAUUAUUUUAGCGAUAUUAUCUUAAGUUGUAAUCAGUUUACUAUUAUAUACACCAAGUUUUAUUUGAAUAAUAUGAAUUUUUAUUUCUAUUUUAAUUCAUUUUUUCUGUUAAUUAUGUUUUUAUAUUUUUAUGCUCACAUGUAAUUGUUGUGUAUGUAAACUAAUUAAAUAUAUUAGGAAGAAAAAAGAAAAAAGUGUGGAGAAAAACUGCUUCCAUUCAUUAUUAUUGUAUAAUAUCAUUGUACAAUUUACAAAAUACAAUUCAAGGAGGAAGGAUAAGACAAGUUAGAUAUGAAACUACGUAACAACACUAAAUACAAUCCAAAUUGCUGAAUACACCUUCCUGCAAUUGUACUAAAUGAGUAAUCACUAUAACCUACGGUUGUCAUGGAAAUUAUAGCCAAAUAAAAACUAUAAAAACACUUAUAUCCUCUAAAAAAUAUGCCGUAAUUGUUCGGCUACUAAUGACUAAGAAGACAAUAACAACGGCUGAACAAACUUUCAAUUUUUGGACUAACUUAUUCUCAACUAUCCACCCAUUUGGUAUGCAUGCUGUAAAUGUUGUAAUGAUGCAUGGUUCUAACUUUUUAAGAAGGUAUUGUAUGAAGUUUUGAAGAAUAUUAGAUGCAAAGGGGUAACAAAGGGACGCAAAAAUAGUUCCUAUUUUAGUCCAUGUAGAAGGAGGAGUAAUAUCCCUAUAUCCUACUGUAGUUAAUGUAACUGAGAUAAAAUAAAGAACAUUUACAAAUUUUUUUGUAGACUUAAGGUUAAACUUUCCCUUCAAGUAAAUUAUAAUCACAACUUAAAAAAAAAAAAGACACACUAA